GUGAAUCAUCAAAUUUUUGAACGCAAAUUGCACUCUCUUCGGAUAGUAUGCCUGUUUGAGGUUCAGCCUAAAAAAAAAUCGACAUAGGCUCUGUUUCGCGGUUACAUUCGUCGUAAAUUGGGUCAUCUUAAACUUUUGUGUUUUAAGCGGCUUAAAUUUUGUUUUAUGAUUCCACGAAGGAUUCUUAAAUUUACUUCUUAUACGUGUAGGUUAAUGUAUCUUUAUUAGAUGGUGCCGUUUGAUCU
RNAcentral lists this unclassified non-coding RNA (245 nucleotides) under Glomus sp. Its description in RNAcentral is "partial contains 5.8S ribosomal RNA and internal transcribed spacer 2". The stretch from base 1 to 65 matches the Rfam family "5.8S ribosomal RNA", at positions 84 to 154 of the family's 154-position model. Lineage: Eukaryota; Fungi; Glomeromycota; Glomeromycetes; Glomerales; Glomeraceae. The record is from RNAcentral.